CUCGUGCCGUGAGGUGUUGGGUUAAGUMCCCUWACGAGCGCAACCCCUGGGGUCCGUUACAUACUCUCUCGGGCCCGACUGCCGCGCGCAACGCGGAGGAAGGCGGGGAUGACGUCAAGUCAGCACGGCCCUUACGUCCGGGGCCACACACACGCUACAAUGGCCGGUACAGCGGGUUGCGAAGCCGCGAGGCGGAGCCAAUCCCAANAAAGCCGGUCNCCAGUUCGGAUUGCAGGCUGCAACCCGCCUGCAUGAAGCCGGAGUUG
RNAcentral lists this ribosomal RNA (266 nucleotides) under uncultured bacterium. Its description in RNAcentral is "partial 16S ribosomal RNA". It matches the Rfam family "Bacterial small subunit ribosomal RNA", at positions 1059 to 1334 of the family's 1533-position model. The record is from RNAcentral.